This 397-nucleotide ribosomal RNA is filed under the name uncultured bacterium. Its description in RNAcentral is "partial 16S ribosomal RNA". It matches the Rfam family "Bacterial small subunit ribosomal RNA", at positions 523 to 918 of the family's 1533-position model. The record is from RNAcentral.
AUACGUAGGGGGCGAGCGUUGUCCGGAAUUACUGGGCGUAAAGGGUGCGUAGGUGGCACUUUAAGUUGGAUGUGAAAUCCCCGUGCUUAACAUGGGAGCUGCAUCCAAUACUGGAGAGCUAGAGUGCAGGAGAGGUAAGCGGAAUUCCUAGUGUAGCGGUGAAAUGCGUAGAUAUUAGGAGGAACACCAGUGGCGAAGGCGGCUUACUGGACUGUAACUGACACUGAGGCACGAAAGCGUGGAGAGCAAACAGGAUUAGAUACCCUGGUAGUCCACGCUGUAAACGAUGAAUACUAGGUGUAGGGGGUAUCAACUCCCUCUGUGCCGCAGCAAACGCAAUAAGUAUUCCGCCUGGGGAGUACGGCCGCAAGGUUGAAACUCAAAUGAAUUGACGGGG